GUUUCUUGGGGAAACUGUUGUGCUGGCAUUGCUUUCCAAUGAUCUGCCAAAGCGCAUACCCUGUUAAGCUGAGUCCCCAUGCAUUUCAAGGCAGACAAAGAAAGCAAAUGUUAAUAUUAAUUGACAAACCAGUAAGGAAGAGUAAAGAUGAACAAAGAAGGAUAUCCAUUUGUUUAAUACUUAAAAGAAUAAAAGAAAAACAUCAAAGGCAUACAUUGCCAACAACCAC
This 229-nucleotide long non-coding RNA is filed under the name Fukomys damarensis (Damara mole-rat). RNAcentral's name for it is "lncRNA (ENSFDAG00000024946.1)". Lineage: Eukaryota; Metazoa; Chordata; Mammalia; Rodentia; Bathyergidae. The record is from RNAcentral.